CCGACGUUCUUCAGUGUCGGCACCCACACGACCCCUUCUAUCACGUCUUGGAGGGUCCGAGCAACAUGGUCUGUCUGCACAAGUCUCGACGCAGCCUCGCAGAUUGAGCCAUGUACGUCCACAGUCAGGUUACUUCGGUGACGAGGCCGGUCCGUCUUCGGCGGCCCCACACCCUACCCCCCACUCGCAACGUACUACGGCACGUCAGCGUGGCCUUCUUCUGCUGCACC
Phragmites australis (common reed) is the source of this 230-nucleotide long non-coding RNA. RefSeq lists it as uncharacterized. Lineage: Eukaryota; Viridiplantae; Streptophyta; Magnoliopsida; Poales; Poaceae. The transcript has 3 exons. The record is from RefSeq and is a predicted model, not a curated record.